ACACCUCAACUCUCAUGGCUUGCCAUGAUGAGCUUGGACUUUGGGGGUCUUGCUGGCCUGUGGUCAGCUCCUCUCAAAUGAAUCAGCUUGCCAGUGUUUGGUGGCAUCACAGGUGUGAUAACUAUCUACGCUCGUGGUUUUCCAUCAUGUAACCUUCAGUGAUGAAGGUUCACUGGGGCUCAUAAAUGUCUCUCCUCAAUGAGGAGACAGCCCUUUGAAC
This 220-nucleotide unclassified non-coding RNA is filed under the name uncultured Thelephoraceae. RNAcentral's name for it is "sequence contains ITS2". Lineage: Eukaryota; Fungi; Basidiomycota; Agaricomycetes; Thelephorales; Thelephoraceae. The record is from RNAcentral.